ACCUGCCUGUAAGACUGGGAUAACUCCGGGAAACCGGGGCUAAUACCGGAUGGUUGUUUGAACCGCAUGGUUCAAACAUAAAAGGUGGCUUCGGCUACCACUUACAGAUGGACCCGCGGCGCAUUAGCUAGUUGGUGAGGUAACGGCUCACCAAGGCAACGAUGCGUAGCCGACCUGAGAGGGUGAUCGGCCACACUGGGACUGAGACACGGCCCAGACUCCUACGGGAGGCAGCAGUAGGGAAUCUUCCGCAAUGGACGAAAGUCUGACGGAGCAACGCCGCGUGAGUGAUGAAGGUUUUCGGAUCGUAAAGCUCUGUUGUUAGGGAAGAACAAGUACCGUUCGAAUAG
This 350-nucleotide ribosomal RNA is filed under the name Bacillus subtilis. RNAcentral's name for it is "bacterial SSU rRNA". It matches the Rfam family "Bacterial small subunit ribosomal RNA", at positions 124 to 467 of the family's 1533-position model. The record is from RNAcentral. Lineage: Bacteria; Bacillati; Bacillota; Bacilli; Caryophanales; Bacillaceae.